UACGGAGGGUGCAAGCGUUAUCCGGAUUCACUGGGUUUAAAGGGUACGUAGGUGGGCAGGUAAGUCAGUGGUGAAAUCUCCGGGCUUAACUCGGAAACUGCCAUUGAUACUAUCUGUCUUGAAUACCGUGGAGGUCAGCGGAAUAUGUCAUGUAGCGGUGAAAUGCUUAGAUAUGACAUAGAACACCAAUUGCGAAGGCAGCUGGCUACACGAAUAUUGACACUGAUGCACGAAAGCGUGGGGAUCAAACAGG
Molecule: ribosomal RNA, 253 nt
Filed under: uncultured bacterium
Lineage: Bacteria
Description: partial 16S ribosomal RNA
Rfam family: Bacterial small subunit ribosomal RNA
Source: RNAcentral